UACGUAGGGGGCUAGCGUUGUCCGGAAUCAUUGGGCGUAAAGCGCGCGUAGGCGGCCCGGUAAGUCCGCUGUGAAAGUCAAAGGCUCAACCUUUGAAUGUCAGCGGAUACUGCCGGGCUAGAGUCCGGAAGAGGCGAGUGGAACUCCUGGUGUAGCGGUGGAAUGCGCAGAUAUCUGGAGGAACACCGGUGGCGAAGGCGGCAUCCUGGACCGGUAUUGACGCUGAUGCGCGAAAGCCAGGGGAGCAAACGGG
RNAcentral lists this ribosomal RNA (253 nucleotides) under uncultured bacterium. RNAcentral's name for it is "partial 16S ribosomal RNA". It matches the Rfam family "Bacterial small subunit ribosomal RNA", at positions 524 to 776 of the family's 1533-position model. The record is from RNAcentral.